AGUCGAACGGCAGCGACUUCGGUGGCGAGUGGCGAACGGGUGAGUAAUGUAUCGGAACGUGCCUAGUAGUGGGGAUAACUACGCGAAAGCGUAGCUAAUACCGCAUGCCUCUCGGGGAAAGCGGGGACCCUCGGGCCUCGCACACCACAGAGCGGCCGAUAUCGGAUUAGCUAGUUGGUGGGGUAACGGCUCACCGGCGACGAUCCGUAGCUGGUUUGAGAGGACGACCAGCCACACUGGGACCGAGACACGGCCCAGACUCCUACGGGAGGCAGCAGUGGGGAAUUUUGGACAAUGGGGAAACCCUGAUCCAGCCAUCCCGCGUGUGCGAUGAAGGCCUUCGGGUUGUAAAGCACUUUUGGCAGGAAAGAAACGGCACGGGAUAAUACCCCGUGCAACUGACGGUACCUGCAGAAUACACCGGCUAACUACGUGCCAGCAGCCGCGAAUAUGUAGGGUGCAGCGUUAAUCGGAAUUACUGGGCGUAAAGCGUGCGCAGGCGGCUCUGGAAAGAAAGAUGUGAACCCAGAGCUUAACUUUGAACUUAUUUCUUACCACCGAGCCAGAGUGUCAGAGGGAGGUGGAAUUCCGCGUGUAGCAGUGAAAUGCGUAGAUAUGCGGAGAGGAACACCGAUGGUGAAGCAGCUCUCUGGGAUAACACUGACGCUCAUGCACGAAAGCGUGGGAGCAAACAGGAUUAGAUACCCUGCAGUCCACGCCCUAAAACGAUGUCAACUAGCUGUUGGGGCUCUCGGGCCUUGGUAGCGGCGGCUGACGCACAUGGGCAGGAAGUUGACCGCCUGGGGAGUACGGUCGCAAGAUUAAAACUCAAAAAGGAAUUGACGGGACCCGCACAAGCGGUGGAUGAUGUGGAUUAAUUCGAUGCAACGCGAAAAACCUUACCUACCUCGACAUGUCUGGAAUCCCGAAGAGAUUUGGGAGUGCUCGCAAGAGAACCGGAACACAGGUGCUGCAUGGCUGUUGCGAAGCCGUGUCGAGAUGUUGGGUUAAGUCCCGCAACGAGCGCAACCCUUGUCAUUGCUACGAAAGGCACCUAAAUGAGACUGCCGGUGACAAAACCGAGGAAGGUGAUGACGUCAAGUCCUCAUGGCCCUUAUGGGUAGGGCUUCACACGUCAUACAAUGGUCGGACAGAGGGUCGCCAACUCAAGGCGAGGGGAGCCAAUCCCAGAAACCCGAUCGUAGUCCGGAUCGCAGUCUGCAACUCGACUGCGUGAAGUCGAACUGCUGGUGAACGUGGAUCAGCAUGUGAAUACGUUCCCGGGUCUUGUACACACCGCCCGUCACACCAUGGGAGUGGGUUUUACCAGAAGUAGUUAGCUCAACUGGUGUGGCGAGGGCGAUUACCACGGUAGAUUCAUGACUGGGGUGAAGUCGUAACAAGGUAA
RNAcentral lists this ribosomal RNA (1408 nucleotides) under uncultured Bordetella sp. RNAcentral describes it as "partial 16S-23S ribosomal RNA intergenic spacer". It matches the Rfam family "Bacterial small subunit ribosomal RNA". Lineage: Bacteria; Pseudomonadati; Pseudomonadota; Betaproteobacteria; Burkholderiales; Alcaligenaceae. The record is from RNAcentral.